RNAcentral lists this ribosomal RNA (252 nucleotides) under uncultured bacterium. RNAcentral describes it as "partial 16S ribosomal RNA". It matches the Rfam family "Bacterial small subunit ribosomal RNA", at positions 524 to 776 of the family's 1533-position model. The record is from RNAcentral.
UACAGAGGUCCCAAGCGUUGUUCGGAUCACUGGGCGUAAAGGGUGCGUAGGUGGCUUGGUAAGUUUGAUGUGAAAUCUCCGGGCUUAACCCGGAAAUGGCAUUGAAUACUAUUGAGCUGGAGGUUUGGAGGGGGGACUGGAAUUCUCGGUGUAGCAGUGAAAUGCGUAGAUAUCGAGAGGAACACCAGUGGCGAAGGCGAGUCUCUGGACGACUCCUGACACUGAGGCACGAAAGCCAGGGGAGCAAACAGG